CCACGGCUGCUCUACAAAUGCUGCAACGUCCUGGGCGGGAAUGAGCUUCACAGAGCGUCCCUGUCACUAUAUGAACCAGAAGCUGGAUCCAGGCUGCAGGUCCUGGCGGCUCAGGAAGGCUGCUGGGAGACCAGGCCCAGCAGCCCGAUGGGGAGGGACCUUGGCUUCUCUGCUUGGUGCCGCCUCUCACGCGGGGGCCCUGGACAUGCUGCCAGAUCCUUGAGCUGCUGCAGAACACCGUGGGCCCGCUUACCUGUCUCCCUUCUUUCUGAACACUUGCACCACGACGGGGAAGAGCAGACAUGUUUUUACCGCAUGGCACCAGAAAGAACCAGCUGUUUGCCUUCACUUUGCCUCCAAUUUGGAGUGGAGAUUUCGAAAGCACACUCCCAGGAGAAGACCAGAGGGCAACUCGAAAGAAAGGCGUGAGGGGCCUCGUCCGAGCCAGCUCUGCAGCCCUCCCUGCCCUGCAGUGUGGGGCAAGGCUGACCCGGACUCUGGGACAGUAGGAAGCACACAGUACUGGGAUCGAAAGCCCUCAGCUGGCUGCCCCGGCCAGAGCCUGCUGUGGGACGUCUUGCCAAGAGGCUCUCGAAGGAGGGUUCCUUCACAUUUAUUUGAUGGUGCUUUCUUAUAUGUAUAUUACACCUGAACCUGUACUUCUUACCUUAAAAUAUUUUAUUUCAAAUGAGCGUGGAGUUUUUUCAGUCACUGUGGCAUUCUGACUUGUGGGUCAGAUGAUUUUCAAGCUGUAAAGAUGGAAAGUGAAUAAACAAAUCA
This 780-nucleotide long non-coding RNA is filed under the name Fukomys damarensis (Damara mole-rat). RNAcentral describes it as "lncRNA (ENSFDAG00000030828.1)". Lineage: Eukaryota; Metazoa; Chordata; Mammalia; Rodentia; Bathyergidae. The record is from RNAcentral.